This 460-nucleotide ribosomal RNA is filed under the name uncultured bacterium. RNAcentral describes it as "partial 16S ribosomal RNA". It matches the Rfam family "Bacterial small subunit ribosomal RNA", at positions 338 to 795 of the family's 1533-position model. The record is from RNAcentral.
CCUACGGGUGGCAGCAGUGAGGAAUAUUGGUCAAUGGGCGCGAGCCUGAACCAGCCAAGUAGCGUGAAGGAUGACUGCCCUACGGGUUGUAAACUUCUUUUAUAAAGGAAUAAAGUGUGGCACGUGUGCCUUUUUGUAUGUACUUUAUGAAUAAGGAUCGGCUAACUCAGUGCCAGCAGCCGCGGUAAUACGGAGGAUCCGAGCGUUACCCGGAUUUAUUGGGUUUAAAGGGAACGUAGAUGGGUUGUUAAGUCAGUUGUGAAAGUUUGCGGCUCAACCGUAAAAUUGCAUUUGAUACUGGCAGUCUAGAGUACAGUUGAGGUAGGCGGAAUUCGUGGUGUAGCGGUGAAAUGCGUAGAGAUCACGAAGAACUCCGAUUGCGAAGGCAGCUUACUAAACUGCCACUGACAUUGAUGCGCGAAAGUGUGGGUAUCAAACAGGAUUAGAUACCCUUGUAGUC